UACAGAGGUGGCAAGCGUUGUCCGGAAUCAUUGGGCGUAAAGCGCGUGUAGGCGGCCAGAAAAGUCCGCUGUGAAAACUCGAGGCUCAACUUCGAGCUGUCGGUGGAAACUUUCUGGCUAGAGUCCGGAAGAGGAGAAUGGAAUUCCUGGUGUAGCGGUGAAAUGCGCAGAUAUCAGGAAGAACACCCGUGGCGAAGGCGGUUCUCUGGGACGGUACUGACGCUGAGACGCGAAAGCGUGGGGAGCGAACAGG
RNAcentral lists this ribosomal RNA (253 nucleotides) under uncultured bacterium. Its description in RNAcentral is "partial 16S ribosomal RNA". It matches the Rfam family "Bacterial small subunit ribosomal RNA", at positions 524 to 776 of the family's 1533-position model. The record is from RNAcentral.